This is a long non-coding RNA of Anguilla rostrata (American eel), 329 nucleotides long. RefSeq lists it as uncharacterized. NCBI's taxonomy places the organism in Eukaryota, Metazoa, Chordata, Actinopteri, Anguilliformes, Anguillidae. The record is from RefSeq and is a predicted model, not a curated record. The transcript is spliced from 2 exons.
ACAGAAGCAUUCUGUUCUACAUGUUCUACAGAAUAGUUUUGUUCUACAGAAGCGUUCUGUUCUACAUGUUCUACAGAAGCAUUCUGUUCUACAUGUUCUGUUCACCUGUGCAGGUGUCUCACCUGUGAGAGCUCCCAGACCCAAACUCAGGCUCAGCGUGAGCAGCAGACGUCUCUGUCCAGAGACAGCAGGCGCCACCUACUCUGUGAUGUCGGACAAGCGGACCAUCUGGAUGAGGAAGUAGGCCGCCCAUCCCAGAAUUCCCGGCAUAGCAUGGACGCUCAGGACCCCGCAGGUAUCGUGGAACUUGAAUACCAACUGAAGGUGGG